AUCAGGGGUAAACCUGUGGAACUCGAACGAACGAACGGGGAGAUUCAUCGUAUUUCUGUCAGGUCUGCGGUGUGAUUAUACCGCGGUAGUUGCGUCGUCUCGCGCGGCGUUUUCGAUCGUGGAGGUCGUGUCGCGAAGAUCUGCAGAGUGCGUGCACUUCUCCCUUAGUAAAACACCGCGACCCGUUCGGUUAAUCGAGGUCGAACCCGUCGUGCGGUUGACCCGUUCUGGACGUCAAAAUCUGGAGCGGAGCCGCGGCGUGGCGAUCUCGGUCGGACGGUAGAAAACGAGGUUUGCUUCCGCCAUUUCGAUGGCGUCCGUAUUCUGUACCGAGUCGGUCCCGUUCGGACUUCGGCGUAAGCGUCGUAGGUUCCGGACGCGGUUGCUAGCUCGUCGUAUGGGAUGUCUCGGACGGGAAGCGUCCCGGUCGGCGGUGGUUUUGUUUCGGGCACUCACAGGACCC
RNAcentral lists this ribosomal RNA (463 nucleotides) under Macrostemum floridum. Its description in RNAcentral is "partial large subunit ribosomal RNA". Lineage: Eukaryota; Metazoa; Arthropoda; Insecta; Trichoptera; Hydropsychidae. The record is from RNAcentral.